RNAcentral lists this long non-coding RNA (287 nucleotides) under Lathyrus oleraceus (garden pea). RNAcentral's name for it is "Pisum sativum (pea) long non-coding RNA (PSAT_LNC033960)". The record is from RNAcentral. Lineage: Eukaryota; Viridiplantae; Streptophyta; Magnoliopsida; Fabales; Fabaceae.
AAAAAUGGAAAAUCAGUGAAAUAAAAUAUGGAAAAAUAAAAAUCAGAUGAAGAAAAAUAAAAGAGAAUUUUAGAAAUUAUUAUGGAAUUUUUUGGAUAAAAAAUGUAAUUAUUGAUAAAAAAAGAAAUUAAAAAUAAUAAAAGAAAUGUAAUUAAAAUCAGAAAAAACACUGAGCGUUAGAUCACGCCUCAUUAAUUGACGUAACAGAUCCAACACUCCGAAUGUUAGAGAACACGGUGGAACACGCUGCAAACCAAACACAGGAUCCAGUUUAAAUUCAACUAAUC